GAGUUUGAUCGUGGCUCAGGAUGAACGCUAGCGGCAGGCUUAAUACAUGCAAGUCGUGGGGCAGCAGGGGUAGCAAUACCCGCUGGCGACCGGCAAACGGGUGCGGAACACGUACGCAACCUUCCUUUAACUGGAGAAUAGCCCCUCGAAAGAGGGAUUAAUACUCCGUAACAUCCCGAUAUGGCAUCAUAACGGGAUUAUAGCUCCGGCGGUUAAAGAUGGGCGUGCGCCUGAUUAGAUAGUUGGCGGGGUAACGGCCCACCAAGUCUGCGAUCAGUAACUGGUGUGAGAGCACGACCAGUCACACGGGCACUGAGACACGGGCCCGACUCCUACGGGAGGCAGCAGUAAGGAUAUUGGUCAAUGGACGCAAGUCUGAACCAGCCAUGCCGCGUGGAGGAUUAAGGCCCUCUGGGUUGUAAACUCCUUUUAUCUGGGAAGAAAUCCAUGAAUUCUUUUGUGGUUGACGGUACCAGAGGAAUAAGCACCGGCUAACUCCGUGCCAGCCGCCGCUGUAAU
RNAcentral lists this ribosomal RNA (519 nucleotides) under uncultured bacterium. Its description in RNAcentral is "bacterial SSU rRNA". It matches the Rfam family "Bacterial small subunit ribosomal RNA", at positions 9 to 524 of the family's 1533-position model. The record is from RNAcentral.